AUGCGCCACUCGUACACUGCGCUUGUGGGCGCGCCCUCCACGUCCACCUGGCGACCACUCGCUUGCGUUGCGUCAGCC
Molecule: small RNA, 78 nt
Filed under: Xanthomonas phaseoli pv. phaseoli
Lineage: Bacteria; Pseudomonadati; Pseudomonadota; Gammaproteobacteria; Lysobacterales; Lysobacteraceae
Description: Xanthomonas axonopodis pv. phaseoli sX9
Source: RNAcentral